This 406-nucleotide ribosomal RNA is filed under the name uncultured bacterium. RNAcentral's name for it is "partial 16S ribosomal RNA". It matches the Rfam family "Bacterial small subunit ribosomal RNA", at positions 30 to 526 of the family's 1533-position model. The record is from RNAcentral.
AUUGAACGCUGGCGGCAGGCCUAACACAUGCAAGUCGAACGAGUGGCGGACGGGUGAGUAAUGUCUGGGAAACUGCCCGAUGGAGGGGGAUAACUACUGGAAACGGUAGCUAAUACCGCAUACCAUCGGAUGUGCCCAGAUGGGAUGAGCUUGUAGGUGGGGUAAAGGCUCACCUAGGCGACGAUCCCUAGCUGGUCUGAGAGGAUGACCAGCCACGAUGGAACUGAGACACGGUCCAGACUCCAGCGGGCGGCACCGGUGGGGAAUAUUGAACAAUGGGCGCAAGCGUGAUGCAGCCAUGCCGCGUGUAUGGAGAAGUCCUUCGGGUUUUAAAGUCAUUUCAGCGGGGAGGCGUUACCCGCAGAAUAAGCACCGGCUAACUCCGUGCCAGCAGCCGCGGUAAUAC